GACGAACGCUGGCGGCGUGCUUAACACAUGCAAGUCGAACGGAAAGGCCCUGCUUUUGUGGGGUGCUCGAGUGGCGAACGGGUGAGUAACACGUGAGUAACCUGCCCUUGACUUUGGGAUAACUUCAGGAAACUGGGGCUAAUACCGGAUAGGAGCUCCUGCUGCAUGGUGGGGGUUGGAAAGUUUCGGCGGUUGGGGAUGGACUCGCGGCUUAUCAGCUUGUUGGUGGGGUAGUGGCUUACCAAGGCUUUGACGGGUAGCCGGCCUGGGAGGGUGACCGGCGACAUUGGGACUGAGAUACGGCCCAGACUCCUACGGGGGGCAGCAGUGGGGAAUAUUGCACAAUGGGGGGAAGCCUGAUGCAGCAACGCCGCGUGCGGGAUGACGGCCUUCGGGUUGUAAACCGCUUUCGCCUGUGACGAAGCGUGAGUGACGGUAAUGGGUAAAGAAGCACCGGCUAACUACGUG
RNAcentral lists this ribosomal RNA (468 nucleotides) under uncultured bacterium. Its description in RNAcentral is "partial 16S ribosomal RNA". It matches the Rfam family "Bacterial small subunit ribosomal RNA", at positions 28 to 507 of the family's 1533-position model. The record is from RNAcentral.